CAGCAGCACGGUAAUACAGAGGGUGCGAGCGUUAAUCGGAUUUACUGGGCGUAAAGCGUGCGUAGGCGGCUUUUUAAGUCGGAUGUGAAAUCCCUGAGCUUAACUUAGGAAUUGCAUUCGAUACUGGGAAGCUAGAGUAUGGGAGAGGAUGGUAGAAUUCCAGGUGUAGCGGUGAAAUGCGUAGAGAUCUGGAGGAAUACCGAUGGCGAAGGCAGCCAUCUGGCCUAAUACUGACGCUGAGGUACGAAAGCAUGGGGAGCAAACAGGAUUAGAUACCCCAGUAGUCCCUGUCUCUUAUACA
RNAcentral lists this ribosomal RNA (301 nucleotides) under uncultured bacterium. RNAcentral's name for it is "partial 16S ribosomal RNA". It matches the Rfam family "Bacterial small subunit ribosomal RNA", at positions 509 to 808 of the family's 1533-position model. The record is from RNAcentral.